RNAcentral lists this transfer RNA (65 nucleotides) under Dipodomys ordii (Ord's kangaroo rat). It matches the Rfam family "tRNA". From Rfam's summary of the family: Transfer RNA (tRNA) molecules are approximately 80 nucleotides in length. Their secondary structure includes four short double-helical elements and three loops (D, anti-codon, and T loops). Lineage: Eukaryota; Metazoa; Chordata; Mammalia; Rodentia; Heteromyidae. The record is from Rfam by way of RNAcentral.
GGUGGCUCAGUGGUAGAGUGCUUAUCUUCCAUGUAUGAGGUCCUGGGUUCAAUUCCUCAGUACCA